ACCUACGGGGGGCAGCAGUAGGGAAUUUUCGUCAAUGGGCGCAAGCCUGAACGAGCAAUGCCGCGUGAACGAGGAAGGUCUUCGGAUCGUAAAGUUCUGUUGAAGGGGAAAAAGAGCGGAGAGAGGAAAUGGUCUCCGAUUGAUAUUACCCUUCGAGGAGGUCACGGCUAACUACGUGCCAGCAGCCGCGGUAAUACGUAGGUGGCGAGCGUUAUCCGGAAUGAUUGGGCGUAAAGGGUGCGUAGGCGGCCUGCUAAGUCUGGAGUGAAAGGUACCGGCUCAACCGGUACAGGCUCUGGAAACUG
RNAcentral lists this ribosomal RNA (305 nucleotides) under uncultured bacterium. RNAcentral describes it as "bacterial SSU rRNA". It matches the Rfam family "Bacterial small subunit ribosomal RNA", at positions 337 to 635 of the family's 1533-position model. The record is from RNAcentral.